This 274-nucleotide ribosomal RNA is filed under the name uncultured bacterium. RNAcentral describes it as "partial 16S ribosomal RNA". It matches the Rfam family "Bacterial small subunit ribosomal RNA", at positions 523 to 796 of the family's 1533-position model. The record is from RNAcentral.
AUACGGGGGGUGCAAGCGUUAAUCGGAAUUACUGGGCGUAAAGCGCGCGUAGGCGGUUUGCUCAGUCGGAUGUGAAAGCCCAGGGCUCAACCUUGGAACUGCAUACGAUACUGGCGAACUAGAGUGUGAGAGAGGAUAGUGGAAUUUCCGGUGUAGCGGUGAAAUGCGUAGAUAUCGGAAGGAACAUCAGUGGCGAAGGCGACUGUCUGGCUCAACACUGACGCUGAGGUGCGAAAGCGUGGGUAGCAAACAGGAUUAGAAACCCUAGUAGUCC